GGUAACAGGAAGCAGCUUGCUGUUUCGCUGACGAGUGGCGGACGGGUGAGUAAUGUCUGGGAAACUGCCUGAUGGAGGGGGAUAACUACUGGAAACGGUAGCUAAUACCGCAUAACGUCGCAAGACCAAAGAGGGGGACCUUCGGGCCUCUUGCCAUCGGAUGUGCCCAGAUGGGAUUAGCUAGUAGGUGGGGUAACGGCUCACCUAGGCGACGAUCCCUAGCUGGUCUGAGAGGAUGACCAGCCACACUGGAACUGAGACACGGUCCAGACUCCUACGGGAGGCAGCAGUGGGGAAUAUUGCACAAUGGGCGCAAGCCUGAUGCAGCCAUGCCGCGUGUAUGAAGAAGGCCUUCGGGUUGUAAAGUACUUUCAGCGGGGAGGAAGGGAGUAAAGUUAAUACCUUUGCUCAUUGACGUUACCCGCAGAAGAAGCACCGGCUAACUCCGUGCCAGCAGCCGCGGUAAUACGGAGGGUGCAAGCGUUAAUCGGAAUUACUGGGCGUAAAGCGCACGCAGGCGGUUUGUUAAGUCAGAUGUGAAAUCCCCGGGCUCAACCUGGGAACUGCAUCUGAUACUGGCAAGCUUGAGUCUCGUAGAGGGGGGUAGAAUUCCAGGUGUAGCGGUGAAAUGCGUAGAGAUCUGGAGGAAUACCGGUGGCGAAGGCGGCCCCCUGGACGAAGACUGACGCUCAGGUGCGAAAGCGUGGGGAGCAAACAGGAUU
RNAcentral lists this ribosomal RNA (722 nucleotides) under Shigella flexneri. Its description in RNAcentral is "bacterial SSU rRNA". It matches the Rfam family "Bacterial small subunit ribosomal RNA", at positions 68 to 779 of the family's 1533-position model. The record is from RNAcentral. Lineage: Bacteria; Pseudomonadati; Pseudomonadota; Gammaproteobacteria; Enterobacterales; Enterobacteriaceae.